This 284-nucleotide ribosomal RNA is filed under the name uncultured bacterium. RNAcentral's name for it is "partial 16S ribosomal RNA". It matches the Rfam family "Bacterial small subunit ribosomal RNA", at positions 29 to 320 of the family's 1533-position model. The record is from RNAcentral.
AUUGAACGCUGGCGGAAUGCUUUACACAUGCAAGUCGAGCGGCAGCGCGGGCAACCUGGCGGCGAGCGGCGAACGGGUGAGUAACAGAUCGGAACGUAUCCUGGAGUGGGGGAUAGCCCGGCGAAAGCCGGAUUAAUACCGCAUACGAUCUUUGGAUGAAAGUGGGGGACCNCAAGGCCUCACGCUCAAGGAGCGGCCGAUCUCUGAUUAGCUAGUUGGCGGGAAAGCCCACCAAGGCGACGACGGGUAGCCGGCCUGAGAGGGCGACCGGCCACACUGGGACU